GACCCCACUGCUAUCGGGAUAGGACUAAGACAUGCUAGUCGAGCGCCUCCCAGCCACGACGGAGGCGCGGCGCACAGCUCAGUAACACGUGGCUAACCUGCCCUCGGGACGGGAAUACCCCCGGGAAACUGGGGCUAAUCCUCGAUAGGUGAAGAACUCUGGAAUGAGUCUCCGCCCAAAAGACGCUUAAAUCAUGCUUUUAGGCGCCGCCCAAGGAUGGGGCCCGCGACCGAUCAGGUAGUUGGUGAGGCAACGGCUCACCAAGCCUUUAACCGGUGCGGGCCGUGGGAGCGGGAGCCCGGAAUGGGCCUGAGACAAGGGCCCCAGGCCCUACGGGGCGCAGCGUCGCGAAACUUUUGCAUACACGAAAGUGUGACAGGGCUAUCCCGAGUCCUAUCCGGUGAGGAAGUUUUUUACCCUGUCUAAAAGCUGGGAGAAUAGGAGAGGGCAAGUCUGGUGUCGCCGCCGCGGAAUAACAGCUCUCGAGUGGUGGGGAUUUUUAUUGGGCCUAAAGCAUCCGUAGCUGGCCAAGUUAUCCCCUGUAAAAUCCACCGAAUUAAUCGUUGGUGUGCGGGGGAUACUGCUCGGCUAGGGGACGAGAGAGGCCGACGGUAUUUUCGGGGUAGGGGUGAAAUCCUAUAAUCCCGAGAGGACCACCAGUGGCGAAGGCUGUCGGCUAGAACGCGCCCGACGGUGAGGGAUGAAAGCUGGGGGAGCGAACCGGAUUAGAUACCCGGGUAGUCCCAGCUGUAAACGAUGCAGGCUAGGUGUUUGGGCGGCCACGGGCCGCUCUAGUGCCGCAGGGAAGCUGUUAAGCCUGCCGCCUGGGGAGUACGGUCGCAAGGCUGAAACUUAAAGGAAUUGGCGGG
This 869-nucleotide ribosomal RNA is filed under the name uncultured archaeon. RNAcentral's name for it is "bacterial SSU rRNA". It matches the Rfam family "Archaeal small subunit ribosomal RNA", at positions 20 to 872 of the family's 1478-position model. The record is from RNAcentral.